UCAGGACGAACGCUGGCGGCGCGCCUAACACAUGCAAGUCGAACGGACUUAGAGAGCUUGCUCUUUAAGUUAGUGGCGGACGGGUGAGUAACACGUGAGCAACCUGCCUUUCAGAGGGGGACAAUAGUUGGAAACGACUGCUAAUACCGCAUAAGACCACGGGAUGGCAUCAUCCAGCGGUCAAAGAUUUAUCGCUGAAAGAUGGGCUCGCGUCCGAUUAGAUAGUUGGUGAGGUAACGGCCCACCAAGUCGACGAUCGGUAGCCGGACUGAGAGGUUGAACGGCCACAUUGGGACUGAGACACGGCCCAGACUCCUACGGGAGGCAGCAGUGGGGGAUAUUGGACAAUGGGGGCAAACCCCCUGAUCCAGCGACGCCGCGUGAGGGAAGAAGGUUUUCGGAUUGUAAACCUCUGUUGACAGGGAAGAAAAUGACGGUACCUGUUUAGAAAGCCACGGCUAACUACGUGCCAGCAGCUGC
RNAcentral lists this ribosomal RNA (480 nucleotides) under uncultured bacterium. Its description in RNAcentral is "bacterial SSU rRNA". It matches the Rfam family "Bacterial small subunit ribosomal RNA", at positions 24 to 518 of the family's 1533-position model. The record is from RNAcentral.